RNAcentral lists this ribosomal RNA (321 nucleotides) under uncultured eukaryote. Its description in RNAcentral is "partial 18S ribosomal RNA". It matches the Rfam family "Eukaryotic small subunit ribosomal RNA", at positions 1470 to 1796 of the family's 1831-position model. The record is from RNAcentral.
CCCUUAGAUGUCCUGGGCCGCACGCGCGCUACACUGACAUGUUCAACAAGCCUCCUAGUUCGACAGGAUUUGGGAAAUCUUUGAACGCAUGUCGUGAUAGGGAUAGAUCAUUGCCAUUAUUGAUCUUGAACGAGGAAUUCCUAGUAAACGCGAGUCAUCAGCUCGCAUUGAUUACGUCCCUGCCCUUUGUACACACCGCCCGUCGCACCUACCGAUUGAAUGUUUCGGUGAAGAUUCCGGAUAGGACUUUUUUGAUUUAUUUCAAUUUUGUCUUAAAAGCUAUCUAAACCUCAACAUUUAGAGGAAGGUGAAGUCGUAACA